Non-coding RNA from Drosophila melanogaster (fruit fly), 811 nucleotides. Lineage: Eukaryota; Metazoa; Arthropoda; Insecta; Diptera; Drosophilidae. The record is from Ensembl.
GGCUGUAAAUUAUGUAAUCACUCGGAGGUCCCACGCAGUCGCCGGACUUUCGAUUUAUGAGCUUGUGCUCUUUAUUGAAUCAGUGGUCAAAGCUAAACUGAAAAACUUAUCUGACUGUACUAAAGCUAACAGCAUAUCUUACCAUAUAACGGUGUUUAUGCUGAAUCUGCUUGUAAAGAUUCUAUGGUGAUCUAAUUAUCACCCAAGACCGACUUAAGUUUACUCAUUAAUUGUCUUAACUACUCCCCCCUUAGAAGUAUGACCGUCCUCGGUCAUCUGGAACUUGUCAACCGACUUGUCGUAUCUCUCGUGCAUCUCGUCUCCUCCUCCCACGCAGCCCCGUUAACCAGAUGUCGGUAGUUCCAGCCGCUUUCACUUUGUAACGUGUUACGAAAUAAAUUGAUGAAAGGCAACCUGUAUUUGCGGGUACACGCUUUAGAAUUCGACUCUAGCUCAUGGCGUUGGGUGUGGUGGUCGUUAUUGUACAAAUACCUUUUAGCUACAGACAUUUAUGAAUAAGAUCAAGAAUUGAGUGUGCUUACAACAACAAAAUGGAGGAACUAGUAUACAAAAUCAGAGGACGCAAAUUAAUAUAUUCGAAAGGAGACAGUUCUAGAAGAAGAGGAAAAGCUUGAGAAUUGGUUGCUAGCGAAACACCGCUGUAGUCGUGUUCACGGAUUGCCCUACCCUACCUAUGACCGCUUACCUUAAGAGCAUGGCUCUAGUGGCCCCUUUGUGCCCUAUGUCCUGAGAAACAUCAGCCCAGUUUAGUAUUUAUAUUUUUAGAAAUUCAUUUUUUUUUUCAUUCAUG